GUAGGGGGCAAGCGUUAUCCGGAAUNAUUGGGCGUAAAGAGUACGUAGGUGGUUACCUAAGCACGGGGUAUAAGGCAAUGGCUCAACUAUUGUUUGCCUUGUGAACUGGGCUACUUGAGUGCAGGAGAGGAAAGCGGAAUUCCUAGUGUAGCGGUGAAAUGCGUAGAUAUUAGGAGGAACACCAGUGGCGAAGGCGGCUUUCUGGACUGUAACUGACACUGAGGUACGAAAGCGUGGGGAGCAAACAGGAUUAGAUACCCUGGUAGUCCACGCCGUAAACGAUGAGCACUAGGUGUCGGGGUCGUAAGGCUUCGGUGCCGCAGUUAACGCAAUAAGUGCUCCGCCUGGGGAGU
This 353-nucleotide ribosomal RNA is filed under the name uncultured bacterium. RNAcentral's name for it is "bacterial SSU rRNA". It matches the Rfam family "Bacterial small subunit ribosomal RNA", at positions 527 to 881 of the family's 1533-position model. The record is from RNAcentral.